RNAcentral lists this ribosomal RNA (254 nucleotides) under uncultured bacterium. Its description in RNAcentral is "partial 16S ribosomal RNA". It matches the Rfam family "Bacterial small subunit ribosomal RNA", at positions 524 to 776 of the family's 1533-position model. The record is from RNAcentral.
CACGUAGGGUGCGAGCGUUGUCCGGAGUUAUUGGGCGUAAAGAGCUCGUAGGCGGUGUGUCGCGUCGGCCGUGAAAACCUGCAGCUUAACUGUGGGCUUGCGGUCGAUACGGGCAUCACUGGAGUCCGGCAGGGGAGACUGGAAUUCCUGGUGUAGCGGUGAAAUGCGCAGAUAUCAGGAGGAACACCGGUGGCGAAGGCGGGUCUCUGGGCCGAUACUGACGCUGAGGAGCGAAAGCGUGGGGAGCGAACAGG